Molecule: ribosomal RNA, 467 nt
Filed under: uncultured bacterium
Lineage: Bacteria
Description: partial 16S ribosomal RNA
Rfam family: Bacterial small subunit ribosomal RNA
Source: RNAcentral
GACGAACGCUGGCGGCGUGCUUAACACAUGCAAGUCGAACGGAAAGGCCCUGCUUUUGUGGGGUGCUCGAGUGGCGAACGGGUGAGUAACACGUGAGUAACCUGCCCUUGACUUUGGGAUAACUUCAGGAAACUGGGGCUAAUACCGGAUAGGAGCUCCUGCUGCAUGGUGGGGGUUGGAAAGUUUCGGCGGUUGGGGAUGGACUCGCGGCUUAUCAGCUUGUUGGUGGGGUAGUGGCUUACCAAGGCUUUGACGGGUAGCCGGCCUGAGAGGGUGAGCAGCCGCAUUGGGGAUGAGUAACGGCCCAGACGCAUACUGGUGGCAGCAGAGGGGGAUAUUGCACAAUGGGCGGGGGGCUGAUGCAGCAACGACGCGUGCGGGAAGACGGCAUUCGGGUUGUAAACCGCUUUCGCCUGUGACGAAGCGUGAGUGACGGUAAUGGGUAAAGAAGCAGCGGCUAACUACGG